RNAcentral lists this ribosomal RNA (240 nucleotides) under Staphylococcus aureus. RNAcentral describes it as "partial 23S ribosomal RNA". It matches the Rfam family "Bacterial large subunit ribosomal RNA", at positions 614 to 854 of the family's 2925-position model. Lineage: Bacteria; Bacillati; Bacillota; Bacilli; Caryophanales; Staphylococcaceae. The record is from RNAcentral.
AAUGAACCGGCGAGUUACGAUUUGAUGCAAGGUUAAGCAGUAAAUGUGGAGCCGUAGCGAAAGCGAGUCUGAAUAGGGCGUUUAGUAUUUGGUCGUAGACCCGAAACCAGGUGAUCUACCCUUGGUCAGGUUGAAGUUCAGGUAACACUGAAUGGAGGACCGAACCGACUUACGUUGAAAAGUGAGCGGAUGAACUGAGGGUAGCGGAGAAAUUCCAAUCGAACCUGGAGAUAGCUGGUU